UACGUAGGUGGCGAGCGUUGUCUGGAUUUACUGGGCGUAAAGGGAGCGUAGGCGGACUUUUAAGUGAGAUGUGAAAUACCCGGGCUCAACUUGGGUGCUGCAUUUCAAACUGGAAGUCUAGAGUGCAGGAGAGGAGAAUGGAAUUCCUAGUGUAGCGGUGAAAUGCGUAGAUAUGCGGAGGAACACCGAUGGCGAAGGCAGCUAUCUGGACAGUAACUGACGCUGAGGCGCGAAAGCGUGGGGAGCAAACAGGAUUA
RNAcentral lists this ribosomal RNA (257 nucleotides) under uncultured prokaryote. RNAcentral's name for it is "partial 16S ribosomal RNA". It matches the Rfam family "Bacterial small subunit ribosomal RNA", at positions 524 to 780 of the family's 1533-position model. The record is from RNAcentral.